UGUGGUUCUGAUGGAGGUUUUCCUUCCUGAUUCUGGUUCUGAUGGAGGUUUUCCUUCCUGGUUCUGGCUCUAAUGAAGGGUUUCCUUCCUAGUUCUGGUUGUGAUGGAGGUUUUCCUUCCUGGUUCUGGUUCUGAUGGAGUUCUGGUUCUGAUGGAGGUUUUCCUUCCUG
Molecule: long non-coding RNA, 170 nt
Organism: Melanotaenia boesemani (Boeseman's rainbowfish)
Lineage: Eukaryota; Metazoa; Chordata; Actinopteri; Atheriniformes; Melanotaeniidae
Exons: 3
Source: RefSeq, a predicted model, not a curated record